RNAcentral lists this ribosomal RNA (525 nucleotides) under uncultured bacterium. RNAcentral describes it as "bacterial SSU rRNA". It matches the Rfam family "Bacterial small subunit ribosomal RNA", at positions 774 to 1297 of the family's 1533-position model. The record is from RNAcentral.
AGUGAAUAGAUACCCUGGUAGUCCUAGCUGUAAACGGCGCGCGUUUGGUGUGAGGGGGUUCGACCCUCCUUGUGCCGGAGCUAAACGCGUUAAACGCGCCGCCUGGGAAAUACGGUCGCAAGACUAAAACUCAAAGAAAUUGACGGGGGCCCGCACAAGCGGUGGAGUAUGUGGCUUAAUUCGAUGCAACGCGAAGAACCUUACCUGGGCUUGACAUGCAUCUCUAAGUCGGUGAAAGCUGGCGAAUGUAGCAAUACAUAAUUUGCACAGGUGCUGCAUGGCUGUCGUCAGCUCGUGUCGUGAGAUGUUGGGUUAAGUCCCGCAACGAGCGCAACCCUCGUGCACUGUUACUGGUUAAAAACAGAUCACUGUGCAGACUGCCCCGUGAAACGGGGAGGAAGGCGAGGAUGACGUCAAGUCAGCAUGGCCCUUACGUCCAGGGCUGCACACGUACUACAAUGCUCAGCACAAUUCGAUCCGGUUUCGCGAGAUUCCGGUAAUCAAAAAAGCUGAGUUCAGUUCGGA